RNAcentral lists this ribosomal RNA (497 nucleotides) under uncultured bacterium. RNAcentral describes it as "partial 16S ribosomal RNA". It matches the Rfam family "Bacterial small subunit ribosomal RNA", at positions 28 to 507 of the family's 1533-position model. The record is from RNAcentral.
GAUGAACGCUGGCGGCGUGCCUAAUACAUGCAAGUCGAGCGAACAGAUGAGGAGCUUGCUCCUCUGACGUUAGCGGCGGACGGGUGAGUAACACGUGGAUAACCUACCUAUAAGACUGGGAUAACUUCGGGAAACCGGAGCUAAUACCGGAUAAUAUAUUGAACCGCAUGGUGCAAUAGUGAAAGACGGUUUUGCUGUCACUUAUAGAUGGAUCCGCGCCGCAUUAGCUAGUUGUUAAGGUAACGGCUUACCAAGGGGACGAUGCGUAGCCGACCUGAGAGGGUGAUCGGCCACACUGGAACUGAGACACGGUCCAGACUCCUACGGGAGGCAGCAGUAGGGAAUCUUCCGCAAUGGGCGAAAGCCUGACGGAGCAACGCCGCGUGAGUGAUGAAGGUCUUCGGAUCGUAAAACUCUGUUAUUAGGGAAGAACAAAUGUGUAAGUAACUAUGCACGUAUUGACGGUACCUAAUCAGAAAGCAACGGCUAACUACGUG